Molecule: long non-coding RNA, 3919 nt
Organism: Oncorhynchus tshawytscha (Chinook salmon)
Lineage: Eukaryota; Metazoa; Chordata; Actinopteri; Salmoniformes; Salmonidae
Exons: 2
Source: RefSeq, a predicted model, not a curated record
AACACAAUAGAAAAGUCUAUAUACAGUGUGCACAAAUUAGGUUUCCAAGAAGGGAAGUGAACAAGUGCACACUACAGGAGAAGGGAGAUAUUGGCACUCAAACUGUGGCAUAAUCCACAUAUCUACCUCCAUUCCUAACAUCAUUACACUGCGUCUCAUACUAAAUGUUUAUUUUUUAUGACAAUUACAAAAUGAAUUCAUGUGAAUGAAUGUGUCAGAAAAAUGGUUUGAAAGCAUUUUUGUUGUGACUCAGCAAUAUGACGUGGAUGCAGAAAGUAAACCGCAUAGUGGGUCAAUUUCAACAACAACUAAGAGUGUUCUUCUCUGCUGUUUUGGUGCCCUGGAUACCACACUUUAAACAGCGUGAUGCGAACCUGUGCACAUGCGCAGAUACUGUGUGUGACUGCGAAGUGUCGCAUCUCGUUAAUCUCAACAUCUCCGGUGCGGUCCGUGGCAUCGUCAUUUCGCGGAGUCUACCUGGAUGUGUUAUAUUUUCCUUGCGCCAAAAUGACAGGUAUAUUUAUUCAUGGCUUGAGCAGGGAGGUCUGGAUUGGACUUCAGCCAUACAGAAGGAGUUUGGGAGUGGGUUGAUGGGACCAGUGGUGUAAAAAGUACCUUAUUUUCAUACUUGAGUAAAAGUAAAGAUACCUUAAUAGAAAAUGACUCAAAUAAAAGUAAUCCAGUAAAAUACUACUUGAGUAAAAGUAAAAAAGUAUUUGGUUCUGAAUAUAGUUAAGUAUCAAAAGUAAAUGUAUAAAUAGUGGGUUGAUGGGACACCUCAUCUUAUGGAGUUGUGUUGGAUUUCAAUUUCAAGUUAAGCAGUUUGUUUUUAUUUGUAAUUAAACUGGCAUAUCAGAAAUGUAUGUAAUCUAGUGCACUAAAUAUAUAAUAGAAGUUAGCUGGUGUUAUCUUAGUGGUGAAGAAUACAUGUACACCAUUGUGUAAUGUAUUGUAGUGAAUGUGGGGACUAGUCCCUCAUCCAGCGACUCUCAAACCAACACCUUAGUAGUUACACCAAGAGAUACGAAACCUUUGAUGAGGUUGCUAGGUGUUGGGUUAAGGUCACUACAGUAUAAACUCAGUAUAGACCAGGUUAUGAGGUUGCUAGGUGUUGGGUUAAGGUCACUACAGUAUAAACUCAGUAUAAACCAGGUUAUGAGGUUGCUAGGUGUUGGGUUAAGGUCACUACAGUAUAAACUCAGUAUAGACCAGGUUAUGAGGUUGCUAGCAAUUAAUGUUAAAGGAAAGAUUCACCCAUUUUGAAUCGUAUAUUGUAUUCGUGUAUCUCUUAGCAAUUUUUGCCAGAUAACUGACCUGUUAUAGUAGUGUAGAUGUCAGAACUAUACUACCACCAGAUAACUGACCUGUUAUAGUAGUGUAGAUGUCAACACUAUACUAUCACCAGAUAACUGACAUGUUAUAGUAGUGUAGAUGUCAACACUAUACUAUCACCAGAUAACUGACCUGUUAUAGUAGUGUAGAUGUCAGAACUAUACUAUCACCAGAUAACUGACAUGUUAUAGUAGUGUAGAUGUCAACACUAUACUAUCACCAGAUAACUGACCUGUUAUAGUAGUGUAGAUGUCAACACUAUACUAUCACCAGAUAACUGACCUGUUAUAGUAGUGUAGAAGUCAACACUAUACUAUCACCAGAUAACUGACAUGUUAUAGUAGUGUAGAUGUCAGAACACUAUACUAUCACCAGAUAGAGAGUGGAACUAGUAGCAGAAUAGUGAGGGAUUUAGAACAGAGAUGUGAGAUGAAUAGUUGAGAUUAAAGAGAGUUGAACUAGUAGUAGAAUAGUGAGGGAUUUAGAAAAGAGAUGUGAGAUGAAUAGUUGAGAUUAAAGAGAGUUGAACUAGUAGUAGAAUAGUGAGGGAUUUAGAACAGAGAUGUGAGAUGAAUAGUUGAGAUUAAAGAGAGUUGAACUAGUAGUAGAAUAGUGAGGGAUUUAGAACAGAGAUGUGAGAUGAAUAGUUGAGAUUAAAGAGAGUUGAACUAGUAGUAGAAUAGUGAGGGAUUUAGAACAGAGAUGUGAGAUGAAUAGUUGAGAUUAAAGAGAGUUGAACUAGUAGUAGAAUAGUGAGGGAUUUAGAACAGAGAUGUGAGAUGAAUAGUUGAGAUUAAAGAGAGUUGAACUAGUAGUAGAAUAGUGAGGGAUUUAGAACAGAGAUGUGAGAUGAAUAGUUGAGAUUAAAGAGAGUUGAACUAGUAGUAGAAUAGUGAGGGAUUUAGAAAAGAGAUGUGAGAUGAAUAGUUGAGAUUAAAGAGAGUUGAACUAGUAGUAGAAUAGUGAGGGAUUUAGAACAGAGAUGUGAGAUGAAUAGUUGAGAUUAAAGAGAGUUGAACUAGUAGUAGAACAAGUGGCAGGGACACUGUUGUUUUUUUUUUCAAAUUCCAGAAUGUAUCUUUAAUUAUUCAACCAAGGACGACUUCUUUAAUUCAACAACACAACCACGUACUCCUGGGCUCUUUCUCAGUAGUCUAAUAUACAGUCUUCUUUGUUGUCCUCUAAUUCACUGAUCUGAAAGAGCUGACCAGGUGAAAGCUAAGCCAGUCUAAUGAGCUUCUUUCCACCAUAUUGUUUUCACCCUGUGAAGUUGUUUUCCAAGCAGUUGAAUGGGAGAGAAUGAUUUUUAAAGAAUUGGUUUUGGUUACAUUUCCACAAAUGUCAUACCCACACCACCAUCUAUUGGUCAAUUCUGGUGUUUAUGAUCACCAGGGACCGAAUAACAUCAAGCGUCUCAGAGUAACAUUGCUGAUUUAGGAUCAGUUUAAUGUUUUAGAUCAUAUUUAAUAAUACAUGGACAGGGAGGACCUGAUCCUAGAUCAGCACUUCUGCUCUGAGAUGCUUGAUACAUACAGCGCCUAAAUAUGUACAUUGUGUGCCAUAUGCUUGUCUAAUAGCUGAGUAAUACUGUCAACAGCAGAUUCCAAGUCAACAAGAAAUACUGGUGUUCUAUUGAUGGACAGUAUUUCUCAUGACACCAGAUAAUGUUUUAAACCAAAUAAUGCUUUUAAUUGGUUGGUUUUUAUUAAUUAUCCUCCAGUAACAAGAUAUUACAAAAUGGAACGUUUUUUAAAACUUUUUAUUUCAACAAUAUACAUUAUUUCACAAAAUGUGUGUUUUCACUGCAGAUGAAAAACAACAUUUGUAAGAGAUCAUAAACAAUAUCAAUAUUUGUUUGAUACAACUCAACUUUUUUUGUCUUCAUCAUGGUAGUAGUUUGGCCAAAUGAAAGCCAUUUACUGCAGGCUCUCAAGAGUUCAAUCCCACAUCAUCGUUAAAUUAUCAUCAACAACAACAAAAAUAAAACAUCAUCGUCAUCAACAACAACAAAAAUAAAAUCAUCAUCAUCAACCAUAUAAUCUUCAUCAACGGACAGAUUUAUAAAUCACCAUCAAACAUCAUCAUCAACCAUAUAAUCUUCAUCAACAGACAGAUUUAUAAAUCACCAUCAAACAUCAUCAUCAACCAUAUAAUCUUCAUCAACGGACAGAUUUAUAAAUCACCAUCAAACAUCAUCAUCAACCAUAUAAUCUUCAUCAACGGACAGAUUUAUAAAUCACCAUCAAACAUCAUCAACCAUAUAAUCUUCAUCAACGGACAGAUUUAUAAAUCACCAUCAAACAUCAUCAUCAACCAUAUAAUCUUCAUCAACGGACAGAUUUAUAAAUCACCAUCAAACAUCAUCAUCAACCAUAUAAUCUUCAUCAACGGACAGAUUUAUAAAUCACCAUCAAACAUCAUCAUCAACCAUAUAAUCUUCAUCAACGGACAUUUACCACUAAAUGAUGCAAUCUCUUCAUAAUCUGUAACUAAAACAUAUCAAGCCAUAGGUUAGACGGUAAAGUAAAUGAGAGAAAUAUCAUUAUUCUUAUUGAAAAUAAAUAAUCAAUGUCAGACUAGCUCAUUA